AGUAAGAGCUUGCUCUUACGGGUGGCGAGUGGCGGACGGGUGAGGAAUGCAUCGGAAUCUACUCUGUCCUGGGGGAUAACGUAGGGAAACUUACGCUAAUACCGCAUACGACCUACGGGUGAAAGCAGGGGAUCUUCGGACCUUGCGCGAUUGAAUGAGCCGAUGCCCGAUUAGCUAGUUGGCGGGGUAAGAGCCCACCAAGGCGACGAUCGGUAGCUGGUCUGAGAGGAUGAUCAGCCACACUGGAACUGAGACACGGUCCAGACUCCUACGGGAGGCAGCAGUGGGGAAUAUUGGACAAUGGGCGCAAGCCUGAUCCAGCCAUACCGCGUGGGUGAAGAAGGCCUUCGGGUUGUAAAGCCCUUUUGUUGGGAAAGAAAAGCAGUCGGUUAAUACCCGAUUGUUCUGACGGUACCCAAAGAAUAAGCACCGGCUAACUUCGUGCCAGCAGCCGCGGUAAUACGAAGGGUGCAAGCGUUACUCGGAAUUACUGGGCGUAAAGCGUGCGUAGGUGGUUGUUUAAGUCUGUCGUGAAAGCCCCUCGGCUCAACCUGGGAAUUGCGAUGGAAACUGGGCGACUAGAGUGUGGCAGAGGGUAGUGGAAUUCCUGGUGUAGCAGUGAAAUGCGUAUAGAUCAGGANGAACAUCCGUGGCGAANGCGACUGCCUGGGGCCAACACUGACACUGANGCACNAAAAGGCGUGGGGGAGCAACAAGGA
Molecule: ribosomal RNA, 719 nt
Filed under: Stenotrophomonas acidaminiphila
Lineage: Bacteria; Pseudomonadati; Pseudomonadota; Gammaproteobacteria; Lysobacterales; Lysobacteraceae
Description: bacterial SSU rRNA
Rfam family: Bacterial small subunit ribosomal RNA
Source: RNAcentral